GAUCAUGGCUCAGGAUGAACGCUAGCGACAGGCUUAACACAUGCAAGUCGAGGGGCAGCAUAAAAGUAGCAAUACUUGGUGGCGACCGGCGCACGGGUGAGUAACGCGUAUGCAACCUACCUAUCAGAGGGGAAUAACCCGGCGAAAGUCGGACUAAUACCGCAUAAAACAGGGGCACCGCAUGGUGAUAUUUGUUAAAGAAAUUCGCUGAUAGAUGGGCAUGCGUUCCAUUAGGUAGUUGGUGAGGUAACGGCUCACCAAGCCGACGAUGGAUAGGGGAACUGAGAGGUUGGUCCCCCACACUGGUACUGAGACACGGACCAGACUCCUACGGGAGGCAGCAGUGAGGAAUAUUGGUCAAUGGGCGAGAGCCUGAACCAGCCAAGUCGCGUGAAGGAAGAAGGAUCUAUGGUUCGUAAACUUCUUUUGCAGGGGAAUAAAGUGCAGGACGUGUCCUGUUUUGUAUGUACCCUGAGAAUAAGGAUCGGCUAACUCCGUGCCAGCAGCAGC
This 510-nucleotide ribosomal RNA is filed under the name uncultured bacterium. RNAcentral's name for it is "bacterial SSU rRNA". It matches the Rfam family "Bacterial small subunit ribosomal RNA", at positions 15 to 518 of the family's 1533-position model. The record is from RNAcentral.